GAUAUCUCUCCAUAUACAUAUACAAGGAGAUAUCUUUAUAUAUAGAGAGAGAUAUCUCCUAAGGGUUCUGUUUCUAUGGAGAAUUCUGACUGAUAAUGCUGGGAAACAGAAUCUGCUCAGAAGAGGGAGGAGCAGAUGGGGUUGGAGUGGCAAGAGAAAGGGGAAAAAAUUCAGACAUUCCGGUCGCUGCUGUCAAAAAUUAAGAACAUGCAGAGUCAAGGAGAGUAAUUGGAACAUGAAACAGGUCUGGGGACGCAAUGUUGAACCAAAAAGUGUGUUUCCCUGAGGAGCUGAGGUCAGAAAAUAAAGAGCCACUGGGUAGUCCAAGACUGGGGACUUGUGGCUGCAACAGAAGAUUCCCCUUGAAGGAGAAUGAACGGUGUUUCAAACCACAUCCGGCCGAAUCAGAUCAGGAGGCUGCAGCCACCUCUUCUGCAUCCACCUCUGCCUGUGAUGGCUCCCUGCCCCUACAAAAGACAUUAUCUGCUUGAGAACAAUCCUGGAGACGGGCCCUGCUGAUGAGCAAUAUCUCACGGGAGGACUGAAGGGGAAAAGGCUGUGGAGGACAUGGUCUUUAGACGGGAAGUUGAGCGGUGGCAACAAAAGUUACCCAUCGGCGAAAACAGCUGGGGAGCCAUCUGUCUGGGAGAAGCCUCCUGCCCAUUUCAUUACCCCCCUUUCUGCAUUUGUGAGAGGCCUGGCCGCUGACGGCAGGCGGUUUAUAGCAGAGGGAACAGAAGGAAACCCGUUGGCCCUUGGAUAACCUUGGCCUCAUUAGCAUCGAACCAAAGCCCACUGCGCUAUUGACUUCUAGUAAAUAUCCACCCAUCAAGAAGAUGUCCCGGAGCCCUGCCUCCGGGGUGUUCAGACACCAGACAGAGCCUUCUUGCUCCUCCAUCCGGGAGCGGGUGCCUAACCGUUCUCCCUGCCCAUAACCACCCAGCUCUCAGAAACCACUCCAUCUUCCCAGGAGGGGACAGUGGUGGGGGGUGGGCAGUGAGAAGAAAACCUCCGUGGUCACCUCGCUGAAAGUCUCCCAUUCUCUCCCUCUAAAGGGCCAAACAAACCCUGGAAAGGCAGUUUAGCAAAUGAAGUACAUACAAUUAGAUUUCCAACUGCUUUGAAAACUUUUAUUUUUGUACAGCAAAUGACACAUUAUCUUUCCAGAGGUCAGGAAAUAAUGCAGUGGGAGUCUUGUGACAUUGUGAGAGUUAAUGUUUCUAUUUGCCAUUGUGUCCUGCGCAAAGAAAGGCGCCGGGUCACCUGGGGU
Molecule: long non-coding RNA, 1270 nt
Filed under: Callithrix jacchus (white-tufted-ear marmoset)
Lineage: Eukaryota; Metazoa; Chordata; Mammalia; Primates; Cebidae
Description: lncRNA (ENSCJAG00000082371.1)
Source: RNAcentral